CAACUCUUCUCUCUCUCUCUCUCUCGAAUACGCUCGUACUGCACUCAUUCUACUCAUAGUUAUAGACGGUUUGAAGAAUCAAAUUCCGAAACGAUGUACGAUCCUCAGCAUUUCGUAGAUUUGCAAGGAAAUUCCAAUUUCUUGGACCCCAAAUCAUGGCUCUCUGGCGACGAUAACUCUUCCCCGACUCUCCGACGUGCUCAGUCCCAACUCUCCGCCCACACUUCCCCCUCUGCUUCCACCACUGCAGCAGCCGGC
RNAcentral lists this unclassified non-coding RNA (258 nucleotides) under Hevea brasiliensis (rubber tree). Lineage: Eukaryota; Viridiplantae; Streptophyta; Magnoliopsida; Malpighiales; Euphorbiaceae. The record is from RNAcentral.